CCCCCCACUUUUGGCUUAGCGCCCCCCCCCCACUUUGACAACCGUUACGCGGACCCUGAUGAUGAUGAUUACACGCCAGAUGAAGGCCUACUUUAUAUCGCAUACAUUCAUUCGGAAGCUUCGUUAUUACGAAGGUUCGGAUAUUCCGAAGUGUAACCACUUUAUAUCUCCCCCCCCAAAAAAAAAAAAUCGAGGUAGAUGAAAUACUUUUCACAAUAGACUUAACUUAAGCCAAUAUGCAGAAUAUCAUAAGGUGAACGAUAAUCCAACUUAGUUAGUAUAAAACAGGCACAUUAUAUAGUCAUAUUUAAAUCUCUCAUUUUUAUACAUCCAAUUGUUAUUCUCUUGUCGAUUACUAACUCAAUGUUGCUAUUGCAGUUAUUAAUUAUUAAGUGCAUACACUGUUUAAAAUAAUUCAAACAACGAUGUUUACUAUGUGAUUCGCACAGUAGUUAUUCAAACAGUUUUUAACGAGUCUUUAAAAUCAUAAACAACCAUGUUUAAAUUACUGAUAAUUAAAUAGCUGAAUUUAAAAUUAGUUGUUUAAGAGCUUAAACACUUGUUUAAAAUGUUUAGACAACUACUGUGCGAUUCACAUAGUAAACAGCGUGUUUAAAUUAUUUUUAACAGUGCAUAUAGGUCCUAUCGAUAUAUGUUUCUUUUAUAAAGCAGCACAUAUAAAAAAGUUGAUAUUUACAUUUUCGUAUACAUAAAACGCUAAACAUAUUCAACUUCAUUAUCAUACUCUACUUAAUACUGAGAAAUAAAUAAAUAAGGAAUUGCAUGAUUAGGAAAUACUGAUCAAGCAUUUUGUGGAAUGGGGUAGCCCAUCCAGUCCUCCAUUUCACUCAGUAUGCCCUGACCAUCUUUCCAUUGUCCUCUGACCGAUGUUUGGACUUCCUUGCUUGAUUCCACGGAAGUCCACAUCACAACAUACGAAUCCGGUGUUUUGGUCACGUGAUACAAUUGGAAUGGUUUAUUCAUUUCGAUUGAUUUGUUUGAAUAAAAACACAUUUAUUUCCUCAAAAAAAAAAUAUUGCUAUAAGUAGGUGAUAAAGUUCAGUCCACGCACAAUCACCGCAUGCCGAGGGCACCGUUGCAUCAACCUAUCGCAAUCUAUUAGAACUUUUAGAUUAAUGAGAGGUUAUAUUGAAACUUUGAGAAUUCAAUGGCCCGUAUUCUGAACUCGGGUUUAAAUUAAACCCUGGUUUAAAGUUGUGGUUUAACUAUGGAGAGUCAAUUGGAGCACAAAUCCCUAACAGUACACAUCCAACGUACUAACUCAUGUGGCACACAAAAUUGUUCAUAAUUGUCUGGGAAUGAUGACUAAAGCAAUUUUCUUCAUUAUGAAAACAAAAGGAAACAAAAUAGUAAACAUAAGAAAUAUACAAUACAAACAGAAUUUUUGAACUUUUGGCUUCCCAUAAUUUUAGCACAAAGUUAAACCGUGGUCUAAAUUAAACCUGACUUCAGAAUACGGACCAAUUACUACUACUAUUAGUGGGCAAACUCAAGAUUAUCAUGGUAUACUGUAUACAAUUUUCAUUAAAGUUAACAAAUAUUUUUGCACCAUUAAAAGAAGCUAAAACCCCAGAUCAAUGCUUGCUCCUGUGUAAGAAGUCCCCUGGAAGAAUACUCGGUUCUGAAAGGGUACUUUUUUUAAAUCCACACGAAUCAUCACCGAUUUUGCUUUUUCACCUGAAAGUCUUUUUUUAUUAAUCAUUAUUUGUCCAAUCGUACGCUGAUCGCAUCCAAAUUAUAGUCCGACCGUAGUCAGCCUGUAACGCGUUCGGUUUCCAAGGUGCAAGGUUAUUUUCAAGGCUGUUAUUUUUUUACUCAAAGGUCU
Molecule: long non-coding RNA, 1846 nt
Organism: Lytechinus variegatus (green sea urchin)
Lineage: Eukaryota; Metazoa; Echinodermata; Echinoidea; Temnopleuroida; Toxopneustidae
Exons: 2
Source: RefSeq, a predicted model, not a curated record